RNAcentral lists this ribosomal RNA (305 nucleotides) under uncultured bacterium. RNAcentral describes it as "bacterial SSU rRNA". It matches the Rfam family "Bacterial small subunit ribosomal RNA", at positions 337 to 640 of the family's 1533-position model. The record is from RNAcentral.
GCCUACGGGGGGCAGCAGUGAGGAAUAUUGGUCAAUGGUCGGGAGACUGAACCAGCCAAGCCGCGUGAGGGAUGAAGGUACAGAGUAUCGUAAACCUCUUUUGUCAGGGAACAAAGGCGGGGACGUGUCCCCGGAUGAGUGUACCUGAAGAAAAAGCAUCGGCUAACUCCGUGCCAGCAGCCGCGGUAAUACGGAGGAUGCGAGCGUUAUCCGGAUUUAUUGGGUUUAAAGGGUGCGCAGGCGGUCUGUUAAGUCAGCGGUCAAAGUCCGGGGCUCAACCCCGUCCCGCCGCUGAAACUGGCAGU